CACGUGGGUAAUUUACCUCUUAGUGGGGAAUAACCCUGGGAAACCGGGGCUAAUACCGCAUAAGCCUGCAAAGGGAAAGCAGCAAUGCGCUGAGAGAGAAGCCCGCGGCCGAUUAGCUAGUUGGUGAGGUAAUGGCUCACCAAGGCGGUGAUCGGUAGCCGGCCUGAGAGGGCACACGGCCACACUGGCACUGAAACACGGGCCAGACUCCUACGGGAGGCAGCAGUGGGGAAUCUUGCACAAUGGAGGAAACUCUGAUGCAGCGACGCCGCGUGAGCGAUGAAGCCCCUCGGGGUGUAA
This 300-nucleotide ribosomal RNA is filed under the name uncultured Solibacteraceae bacterium. Its description in RNAcentral is "bacterial SSU rRNA". It matches the Rfam family "Bacterial small subunit ribosomal RNA", at positions 114 to 428 of the family's 1533-position model. The record is from RNAcentral. Lineage: Bacteria; Pseudomonadati; Acidobacteriota; Terriglobia; Bryobacterales; Solibacteraceae.